GACGAACGCUGGCGGCGUGCUUAACACAUGCAAGUCGAACGGAAAGGCCCCCACUUUUUUGGUGGGGGUGCUCGAGUGGCGAACGGGUGAGUAACACGUGGGUGAUCUGCCCUGUACUUCGGGAUAAGCUUGGGAAACUGGGUCUAAUACCGGAUAGGACCAUGGUUUAGUGUCUCAUGGUGGAAAAAUUAUUGUUUUGGUGCAGGAUGAGCUCGCGGCCUAUCAGCUUGUUGGUGGGGUAAUGGCCUACCAAGGCGUCGACGGGUAGCCGGCCUGAGAGGGUGGACGGCCACAUUGGGACUGAGAUACGGCCCAGACUCCUACGGGAGGCAGCAGUAGGGAAUAUUGCACAAUGGGCGCAAGCCUGAUGCAGCGACGCCGCGUGGGGGAUGACGGCCUUCGGGUUGUAAACUCCUUUCGUUAGGGACGAAGCCGCACCUUUUUUGGGUGUGGUGACGGUACCUUUGUUAAGAAGCACCGGCUAACUACGUG
RNAcentral lists this ribosomal RNA (492 nucleotides) under uncultured bacterium. Its description in RNAcentral is "partial 16S ribosomal RNA". It matches the Rfam family "Bacterial small subunit ribosomal RNA", at positions 28 to 507 of the family's 1533-position model. The record is from RNAcentral.